This 117-nucleotide non-coding RNA is filed under the name Pan troglodytes (chimpanzee). Lineage: Eukaryota; Metazoa; Chordata; Mammalia; Primates; Hominidae. The record is from Rfam by way of RNAcentral.
GCUGGGCGCGGUGGCUCACGCCUGUAAUCCCAGCACUUUGGGAGGCUGAGGUGGGCGGAUCACCUGAGGUCGGGAGUUCGAGACUAGCCUGGCCAACAUGGUGAAACCCCAUCUCUA